GACGAACGCUGGCGGCGUGCUUAACACAUGCAAGUCGAACGGUGAAGGGACCGGUUUUUGCUGGUUCUGGAUGAGUGGCGAACGGGUGAGUAACACGUGAGUAACCUGCCCCCUUCUUCUGGAUAACCGCAUGAAAGUGUGGCUAAUACGGGAUAUUCUGCGCCUGCUGCAUGGUGGGUGUGGGAAAGAUAUUGUUUCGGUGGGGGAUGGGCUCGCGGCCUAUCAGCUUGUUGGUGGGGUGAUGGCCUACCAAGGCGGUGACGGGUAGCCGGCCUGAGAGGGUGGACGGUCACACUGGGACUGAGACACGGCCCAGACUCCUACGGGAGGCAGCAGUGGGGAAUAUUGCACAAUGGGCGCAAGCCUGAUGCAGCGACGCCGCGGGAGGGAUGGAGGCCUUCGGGUUGUAAACCUCUUUCGCCAGUGAAGCAGGCCUGUCCCUUGUGUGGGUGGGUUGACGGUAGCUGGAUAAGAAGCGCCGGCUAACUACGUG
RNAcentral lists this ribosomal RNA (493 nucleotides) under uncultured bacterium. RNAcentral's name for it is "partial 16S ribosomal RNA". It matches the Rfam family "Bacterial small subunit ribosomal RNA", at positions 28 to 507 of the family's 1533-position model. The record is from RNAcentral.